UAGUGAUUCUAUUGCCUAGCCAGAGCUAGAUUUCCUUCUUUUUCAAGUUUGUGUGUGGUUUUGAGAAUCAACUCAUAAACAACUUGUAUUUGGAAAAGUAUGAGGAGUUGCAAGUUAAAGUAAUUUCAACGAUCUUGAAUUGUCUUAUUAACUGAUCGGAUUUAGUCUUCUUCUGAUUGUUUGUUUAUUUGAAGGGAUUCUAAUUGAUUUUGGGAACUCAAUUGUUUUGCGAUUUUCUUACUGGUUAAAAUGUUUGGGAUUUACAGAUCGACAUCAACUCAAUACAACCAGUGGCGCCGGCUGACCCUCACGUGGUCGGGAUCGGACAAUUUGUAGUGGAAAAAUUUCACCACGGCAAGCUGCAUUUCAUCGCCGUGAUUGGCGGAUUCACUUGGAAUUGUGAAGGAGGCAAGUACUACGCACUUAUCAUUCAAAAUCAGGAUUAUGAGGGCGCCACAUUUAUCCAUAAAGCACUCGUUGUUGAGGCCAAAGGUGAAACGAAACUCCUCUGGCACAGGAAUUAAUCAAGCACUACUAUUGAUCAGCUGAGGAUAAAGGACUUUCUUUGGGUACUUAAAUUAUCUAGUGUCUAUGGUGUGGGUUUUCAGUUUAUGCAUGGAUGAUGUACUGCUGCCAUGCAGACAUCUUUCCACUGUUGUACUAGUAUGUUAAAUAAGGUGCACUUAUACCAACAAAAUGCACCAUUCCGUCUAUUUUUUUAAUUUGUAUCCUUGUAAUAACAUGCAAAAGAUGCACUUUUACGAACAAAAAUGUACCAUUAAAUGAAUAAAAACAAUCGUCUGUUUUUGAGUUUUAUCUGUAUAUUUUGUUUCUAUGUUACUUCCAAGCAAGUUCCGAUCCCUGAAUUUGUAUGUCAACUACGUACUAUGGUCUUGUUAGAUAUUUGGGUUGUCCUCCUAAAUCUGCUUUUAAUAUGAUAGAAUCUAUUUGUGGUAGAUUUUUUGUGGGGUUCCUCGGAGGAGCAAAGGAACACGCCAGUUUCUAACUCGGAAUGGUCCUAGCUAGUUCAUUGAUCCAGCUCCCAGAGUAGAGCUGUCUGGUCCUGCCAUCACCAAACUAAGAACAUGUUUCCUUGAAACGCCCAUAGAGAAUGCUUUCUAGGAUCAACCAAAAAUGAUAAUAAUAACAGUAAAUGUACCUCCAUUUAGCCAUAAAACACGAGGCUUGUUAGAAGGAUUUUCGGACUCCGCAAAAUAGUAGAAGAGAGCUUUACCAGUCUUCGGAUCAACAGUAACAUACCCUGAAUAUUGAUCACACUUUAACCCUUUUGGUUGCCCCGGCAACGCUACUACCUUGUCAGCCGCCUUCCAAACCCUCUUGAGGACCAAUAUAAACUGGCGUGUUCUCAUUUACGUAAUUGUCUACUUGAUGGGUGUCGAAACCACCAAAAAUAAAAUUCGUACUCCAAAAAGAUAUACUUUUGAGUACAAUGGUGAGUGGAGUCAAAAAAUAAUAAUGUAAAAUUAAAUAAAAAUAAUUCAAUAAAAGAUAAAUCACUAGUCAAAAAUCUAAUCACCACUUUAGUUCAAUUAACUAAUCAUUGAUGCAUGGAUAAAAUCAUUUAUUUAUAAAUAAAUUAGUUAUGGUUGUCAACAAAUUUUAAGAACCUGCCUACCUCUCCUUGCUACCCUCGAUAACCACAGCAAAUUUUGUGAUUAUUACUCUUGCCAAUUAAACAACCCUAGACAAACUUUUAGGAUUUAACAUAUUGACAAAAUUAAUUAUUACAAAAGCUACCCAUUUGAUAACAUUAAUUAUUACAAAAGUUGCCGGUUCUAACCAAUAAACACAUAAGUUUCCGUUUAUUUGGAUUCGAUUAUAUAUUUUCGUGACCUAUAUUUGAAAAUUUUUACUACAAUCAAAUUAUAUCAAAUUAUAUCACUUGCCAUAAAUACUAAAACCAUCAAAUAAUUAUAGAUUUGAUGAUUUAGAUGCAAUAUAGUGUUUCAAUAAUUAAAUAAUGGCCAAUUAUUUAAUCAUAUAAAAUAAUCAUAUUAGGAACUUGAGAAGUUCGGUAAAAUUUUCAUUCCCUCAAAGGUUCAAGGCAAAUAAAUUUGAUAGGGAUUUUGAGAAGUUUGCUAAAAUUUUUAAGCAAUUGCGUAUUAAUAUCCUUUUUGCCGAUGUUAUUUUCAGAUUCCUUCGUAUGAAAAAUUUCUCAAGGAGAUUAUGAUUCAAAAGAGAAAAUUGGAGGAUUGUGAAGCAAUAGCAUUAACGGAGAAGUGCAGUGCCAUCAUACAAAAUAAGCUACCACCAAAAUUGAAGGAUCCAGGGAAUUUCUUUAUAUCAUGCAUGUGAGGACCAGAAAAAAUUUUAUUUUUUUUAAGUUUUCUCCUAUUUUUGAAAAAAAAUUAAUUUAUGUUUCCUUUUAUUUUACUUUACUUGCUUAUUUGCUAGUCUUAAUUUGAUAGUGAUUUUAAAGGUUAAGUUAAGAUUAUUCUUUUGUUCCCUUUUUAUAAUCUUGAUGCAUGUUAAGUUUCAUAAAGUAUUAUGGUAGUUUAACCGACUAGUGAGAUGUACGCAUUAUAUUUGAUGGACGAGAAUGGAUGUGAUGCUAGAGGAAUUAUGUGAUUAGAAGUGUUAAAAAUGUAUUGGAAGAACACAAGAUAUAUUGGUUAUUAGAGAAAUACAAGAGAGACAAAAGGAUAGACAUGAAACCAAGCCUCGACAAGUGUCGUGCAUCCAUGAAGUCUUGACCAAGACAUGGACCAAGAGAAGUCUUAUGUUUAUCUUCCAAAAUUGACUCAAAAACCUUUACUUUCUUCUUCAUUGUGGCCGAACUUAAGGGAGAGAGAGAAGAGAGAAAACUUUCAAAAUCCUCUUGAUUUCCUUGCUUAAUUUGUGAAAAAAUCCAUGAUCAACCCUAAUUUACUCCAUAAAACCUUGAGUUAAUCUUGGAAUGAAACUUUUGGUGGAAUCAUUUGAGGAAGAAAGUUCUUAUCUUACCAUUUAUCUUGGGAUUUUGAGGUAUUUUACUAAGAACCUCUCUUUUUCCUUCUUAUUUUGCCAUUUAAGCAACAUAUAACUUGAUUAGGAUGGAUUUCAUAGAAGAAUUCAUGGUUUUGCUUAGUAGGUUGCAAUUUUCAGCUUUGGAAUAUAUUGUUCAGCCUUGUUAUGAAUGGUUUUGCUUUGAUAUGAGGUUGGAUAUGAAAUUUUAGCUUUGAAAUGAGGUUAUCUAGCUUCUAUAUUCGAAUUUCCAGCUUUAGUGUUAAUUUCCAACUUUGAUUUUGUAUUUUCCAGCCUUGAGUUGAGAGUUUCCAACUUUGAUGUGGACUUAUGAGUUUGGAUAUGAAGAUAUCUAACUUGAACAUGCACUUCUAGCUUUGUUAUAUGAUUUUUCUAGCUUUAGUGGUCAAUUUCCAGCUUUGAGAUGAAAAAUUUCAGCUUUGGUGUAAGUGAUUUGGAGCUUGAUAUAUAUGUUCAAAGUUGAUAGUUUAGUGGCCUAAAGUAUGCACUAUUUGUCCCCUAUAAUAUGUGGCCUUGAUUGAGGUUCAUUUACCAUGAAACUAGGAUUUGAAUGGAUGGUUAACUUGAAGAAAUUUGGGGACAUAUUGCUGGAUUUUCUUCUUGUUGGUCAUUUUGGGGACCUAAAUUUGGGGACAUAAAUUUAGGGCAUUUUUGUUUUUCUCUUGCAUAUGAUUUUACUCAAAACACUUGCUACAAUCUAUUUCUUUGCAUGUACGUUAGUUUUGAGCCAAGACAAGAGGUUUAAAUGAAAGGAAAUGAGUUUUAUCAAAUCAUUUUCUAGUUGGACAAUUUCCAACUUGGCACCUUCAAAGUCUUGACAUAAUUUCCUCAAACUUUUGACUAUAAUCGAUGUUUGUGUGCUCCAAAUGACUCUUGAAACAUGGAUUUAGUAUGCACACAAGGUUUUCCCCUUAAUUUGAACAAGAAAAUGUUAUAUUUUUUAUUAGUUAUAUGGGGAUAAAACUUGUGAACUAGUGUAUUUUCUAAAUGAAGUUUUGAACCCUCAAUUUCUUCAUUGUAUUUUGACUUUGUUUACUAGUCUUUUAAUAUAGUGUAUGACUACAGGACUCGAGAUAUUUCAAGAGGACAAACCGGGGCUGAAGUGAAAGAGUACGAUUGAUUGGUGAGUGUUCUUCGCAUGUUGUGCUUUAAAUGACUAUGUAGAAUGUUUGUUUGAAUGUCAAAUACUUUCUAAUGAUUGUUAAAUGGAUUUUCAAUGGGUGAGUGUGUACUUUAUCACACUUGACCCAAAGUGAAAGUGGAUUUUCAAUGAUUGAAUGUUAUUUGUGCAUGAAUGUAAGCCUUUGAUUGAAUUGGGCCCUUGCCCUUCAUUGCCAGUCGACUCGAGCCAGAAGCAGACUCGGUCGGGUGGCUGGUGACCCUAGGACAGUGUUUGGUAUACUCAAGUAUGAUCACGAAGUUGGAUGGAGUACUAGCCAGUGUAUGCAAUGCAAUGAUUGAAACGAAUGACUGAAUGAAAUGAACACUGAAGGAGUUUUCACUUUCAAAUAUUUUUAAAUAUUGGAGGGAUAAGGGAAAUGGAUGACGAAUGAAUGACUGAAUGAAUGGCUCAAGUGAGUAGUAUCCUUUCAAUGAUUGUUUCUUGAAUGACUGUUUAUUAUCGUGCAAAGUGUAUAAUUGUCAAUUGUAGCAUUUCUGUGCUUUAUCUACCUAACUGCUUGUUUGGGAAUCUCACUAGGCUUUUUGCUCAUUCUAUUAGUUUGUUUUCCUUAUAGGAGUGGAGGCCGGAGCAAGUAAGCGUAAACUAGUGUAUAUAAUCUUCAUUUACUAGUGUGUAUAAUUUUCAUGUACUAGUGUGUAGAUGAAAUGUAUUUGGGAUAUUUAGUAAUGUAAUCCUAUAUUUCACUUUUAGAUUGUAAAUUAAGUGAGAAUUAUUAGUUGAAUUGGGAACUUUUAUGUUAAUCUAGAGACGUGAAAGACUAUUUCAAGAAUGUUAGUGAGUGAGUCCUGACGAGAGUUGGACAGGCGGUCCGCCCAACUCUUGGAUUCGUCCUAGGGAGAGGUGGAGUCGUCACAAUGCACUAUUGAUAACAUUGAUUUUUUUAAAGUAUUAUGUAACCUUGGUGCUAGUGUAUCAGUAAUUCCUUUAAGAGUGGUUAGACAAUUAGAUUUACAUGAGUUUAAAAGUACUAAUAUUACUUUGCAGUUAACUGAUAGGUCUAUUAAAUAUCUAUUGAAAGUGUUGGAGAAUGUAUUAAUUAAAGUAUAAAAAGUUAUCGUCUUUAUGAAUUUUGAGGUAUUAGAUAUGAAAAAAAAAUGUCUAUAUCAAUUAUUCUUGGCAGACCAUUUUUAGCAGUUGUAGGUACUAUUAAUGAUGUUAAAAAUGACAAAUUUAAGUUUCAAAUAUGUAAAGAAGAGGUAGAAUUUAAUUUGAAUGAAAUAAAAAAAUACCAUUUUUUUACUGAUCAUUCUUGUUCUAUUGGCACAAUUGAUAAGUUAGUCAAAGAGUUGAGUCGAGUGAACUGUGACUUCGACCCUUUUGAGAUUUGUUUGAUGAGUUUAAAAAUGCAAGAGGGAGACUGUGAAGAAAUUAAAGAAUUGGCUAAAUAUUUAGAUUUUCAAACAGCUUAUAAACGAGAUAAUGUUUAUGAAAAUCUUGAUCAAAGAAAAGAGCCCCCACUAUCCUCGGAGAUUGAAGUUCCAAAAUUAGAACUCAAGUCGCUCCCAAAUCAUUUAUGGUAUGAGUUUUUUGGAAAAAAUAGCACUCUGCCGAUAAUUAUUAGUGCUCACUUAGAUGAAGAACAAUGUGCAAAAUUGUUAAGGAUUCUAAGAAAACACAAGAAGUCAGUUGGACAGACAAUUUCUGAUAUCAAAGAUACAAGUCAUUAUAUAUGCAUGCACCGCAUAUUAUUAGAAAAAAAUCACACACUAGUGGUAGAAAUGCAAAGAAGGCUCAAUCCAAAUAUGAAAGAGAUGUAAGAAAUAAAAUUCCCAAAUGGCUUGAUUCAGGUAUAAUCUUUUUUUUUCUCUAAUAGUAUUUGGAUAAGUUCAAAUCAUAUUGUCCCUAAAAAGGAUGGAAAAACUGUAGUCAUGGGUAAAAAUGAUAAAAUGAUUCCAUAUCAAUUCAUGAAUUGGUGGAGAGUGUGUAUAGAUUAUAGAAAAUUAAAUGUAGUUACUAGAAAAAAUCACUUUUCCUUACCCUUUUCUGACCAAUUAUUUGAGAGAAUAGCCGGUUAUGAAUUUUACUGUUUUUCUAAUGUUUUUUCGGAUUAUAACCAAUUAGCUAUAAUUUUGGAGGAUCAAGAGAAUACCACAUUUACUUACCCUUAUGGUACCUUUGCCUUAAGAAAGAUGCCAUUUGAUCUAUGUAAAAUCCCUGCUAUGUUUCAACGUUACAUGGUGGCCAUAGUUUCUAAUUACAUUAAGAAAAUUAUGGAGAUAUUUAUGGAUGAUUUUUUGGUAUUUGGUUCAUCUUUUGGUCAUUAUAUUCAUAAUUUAGAUUUGAUUUUACAAAGAUGUGAGGAGACAAAUCUUGUGCUAAAUUAGGAGAAAUGCUAUUUUAUGGUUCGAGAAAAAAUUGUCAGAAUCAGAUAAAGAUAAUAAUGACGAAACUGUAACCAAACCCGUGAUAGUAGAUCCCUACAAAACAUAUAAACUACCAAAUCUGCAAACUUUUAUUACAAUAAGAGCGCCUUUAGAAACCUUCAUAACGUUAUUUUUAGCUGUGUAUGUGCACCCAAGAACCUCCAGAGUGUCCAAAGAAAUGAGAUUCUUUUUCAAAUCAAGAACAUGUCUAAUAUUAGUAAGCGUUCUCAAAAUACCAUCAUGUAUUUUAAUUCAAACUGUACCCUUACCAACAACAUCACAAACGGCAUUAUUGCCCAUGAAAGCAAUUCCACCAUUACAAGAUUCAUAAGUGAAAAAUAAAUCCCCAUUGGGACAUAUGUGAUAAGAGCACCCCGAAUCUAAGAUUCAUUCAUUUUUAAACCUUGUCCUAUCAUCAGUCACAAAAUAUUUAUUUUAUUCUCAUCAACUGCAGCACAAGUUUCGAUAGUUUAGGUACUUUUUUUCACUAGGUUUCCCCUUUUACUUUAAUCUUUUCAAUUUAAAGUAAUUUGCAUUAAUGUGUCUCAUUUUGUGAUAAUAAUUGCACUCUAAAUUUUUGUGUCUGGGUUUAGAUCUAAAGUUAGAUCUACUACUGUCAAAUGUUUUUUAUUGGUUCUGCCCCUAACCACCAGACUUUCCCCCUGAUUCCCAAAUUUCUUCAGUAAUAUCCCUGUCUAUCUGCUCCUUUGAUUUUAAUGCAAAUUUAAUUUCACGAUACGAAAUUAUUUCUUUUCCAUAAAUCAUAGUAUUGUAAAAAUAUUUAAAAGUGGGAAAGGAAAUACAAAAGUAGCAGGGCCUGAUUUUCAACAUCAAUUUCAAAUCUAUAUUCUCCAAAUUCAUAAUAAUUGAAUCAAAUUUAUCAAGAUAUGAGAGUAUAGAUGUACUUUCAGUCAUGCAAAACAUAUACAAACUUUAUUUUAAAUAAAACCGAUUCUUAACUGUUUUCUUCAUGUACAAAGCCUUAAACUUGUCCCACGUGUCCUUUAUCGAAAUUUCAGUGGUUAUCUCCCGCAAAACCACAUCAAAGAGAUUUAAGAUAAUACUAGAUCUUGUCUUCUUAUCUAUUUUAGCAAAAUUUGUAUCUGUCACACUCUUUGACUUUUUAUCAAUUUCUUGUAUUUCUAAAUCAACUCCGCCUUGAACCAAAAUGCUCUCUAUCUUGAGCUGCCGUAUCCCAAAAUUGACAUUCCUGUCAAAUUUUUUGACAAUAAUCUUUGUUAUUAUCAUUGUUGCCACAAAAUUUAAACCUUCCGAAGAAGUUCUGAUAUUAGUUUGUUAGGUCUGGAUCCAGAAAAUUGACGAUAGGAUUUUUGGCAAUCCUAAAAGACAAAUAACAAAGAAAAAUAAAUAAAACAGGAAUACAUAAAAUUUAUAUGAUUCGGUCAAAUAGACCUACGUUCACGAGUGGAGCAAGAGCAAAAUUUUACUAUGAAUAACAGAAUACAAAAAUGUUUUAGACAAGCAUUUUUAAAUCCAAAACACCUAAUACUUGAAACACAAAAGAACCCAAAAAUAUUUUAUUAAACAAAAAGAUUUAAAUGAUUCAAAGGCCCAAAAUAACCCACUAAAACUCUCUUAAUUUGAUUCAUCUGAUUCCCUCAAACAUAUCAAACGUGUAAAACCUUAUCAUAUUUGACCCGUAAAACAUAAUAAACAUGCGUAUACGAAACUAUAAACGAUGUCCCAAAAGAAUUAUCCCCACACAACGAGAGCAAAAUUUCACCCAUUAUAAAACUACUUUCGACGGGGAUUUUUGGUCAGAAUGUAUCAUAGAAAUUUAUAAUUUACAAUACCAGGUCAAUUUUAUCUUAAAAGUUAGGAGGACUAUUGUCAUGCAAUUGACGUUGACUAACUGCCUGCCUUCCAGUCACAAACUGACAACGAUACUAAAUCACAAACUUGACAACAGAUACUUGUUUUUUUUUAUUAGAGAACGUGAGGAACGUGAGGAGCUAACCACGUCGAAAUCAAAAUAACACAAUACUAAAUCAAUUUCAUUGGGCGAAGCAACCUCUUAACUACUGUUCUUUCUGGGAAUCAAGAUUUUAAAAGUCAAGAUAUCCUCGAAUUCUUGGAUAAGAUCAACAGUAUUGGUCAUCACCCUUCCGUGUAUGCUUUUCUCAUCUAUGUUUCUAGUAACCUCAUUUUCGUUCCUCUGUUAUGACAAACUGUUCUGGAAAUAAUAAUCAUUUGACCACAUGAUUAAAAAUCACUAAUGCAUUGCCAUAUAAAGUAAUCUGUCACCAUCUUACCUUCAUUUGAUAAUUACAUUUUAUUUCCUAACCAUUCUAAUUUGUAAUUCAAUUUAACUAAUGAGUAUUCAAUGGACACUCGUUAAAAGAAAUUCGUAUUAGUUUUUUUAAAAAAAUAUAGUUUAUUUGUAAAAGUAUAGCAAUUCGAGAUGUGCAAUAUAAGUGUGUAUGCGUAUUUAUAUAGCAAUUUAGGUGUGGUCAUUAGCAAAAUUUUUCCUAAUUAAGCCUUUACUUAGUAACUGGCAUUUCUAGCCAAAUAUAGAUUGCGUGCCAUUAAAAAAUUCUUCAAAGGGCGGUGUGUCUUUUCACACUGACCUUAUCAAAGACGCGUCCCAUGCUGGUCGGCCGUGACUUUGGUGAUUAGGUCCGACAAGUAAUGAAUUUACUUAUGGGGUACGUCACCACAUUUUUAGGCCUAUAAAUACGAGGACUCUGGUUCGUUAUUUUGAUAUGCUAAACUCAGCAAACAGGUUUUCGACAGUCACAACCAGUUACAAGUAUCCAUUUUCGUUCAUAUUAAUUAGCUAGCUAGUUCUCCAAGGGAAAAAAUGGCUGAAGCCAAAUCUGCUACUGUCACUGAUCAGGUGAAUAGUGAUUCUAUUGCCUAGCCAGAGCUAGAUUUCCUUCUUUUUCAAGUUUGUGUGUGGUUUUGAGAAUCAACUCAUAAACAACUUGUAUUUGGAAAAGUAUGAGGAGUUGCAAGUUAAAGUAAUUUCAACGAUCUUGAAUUGUCUUAUUAACUGAUCGGAUUUAGUCUUCUUCUGAUUGUUUGUUUAUUUGAAGGGAUUCUAAUUGAUUUUGGGAACUCAAUUGUUUUGCGAUUUUCUUACUGGUUAAAAUGUUUGGGAUUUACAGAUCGACAUCAACUCAAUACAACCAGUGGCGCCGGCUGACCCUCACGUGGUCGGGAUCGGACAAUUUGUAGUGGAAAAAUUUCACCACGGCAAGCUGCAUUUCAUCGCCGUGAUUGGCGGAUUCACUUGGAAUUGUGAAGGAGGCAAGUACUACGCACUUAUCAUUCAAAAUCAGGAUUAUGAGGGCGCCACAUUUAUCCAUAAAGCACUCGUUGUUGAGGCCAAAGGUGAAACGAAACUCCUCUGGCACAGGAAUUAAUCAAGCACUACUAUUGAUCAGCUGAGGAUAAAGGACUUUCUUUGGGUACUUAAAUUAUCUAGUGUCUAUGGUGUGGGUUUUCAGUUUAUGCAUGGAUGAUGUACUGCUGCCAUGCAGACAUCUUUCCACUGUUGUACUAGUAUGUUAAAUAAGGUGCACUUAUACCAACAAAAUGCACCAUUCCGUCUAUUUUUU
This 10112-nucleotide long non-coding RNA is filed under the name Coffea arabica (coffee). Its description in RNAcentral is "long non-coding RNA (CARA_LNC002481)". The record is from RNAcentral. Lineage: Eukaryota; Viridiplantae; Streptophyta; Magnoliopsida; Gentianales; Rubiaceae.